GAACCUACCCCUAGGACGGGGACAACAGAGGGAAACUUCUGCUAAUCCCGGAUGAGCCCUCGGGUAAAAGAUUUAUCGCCUAGGGAUGAGCUCGCGUCUGAUUAGCUAGUUGGUGGGGUAAAAGCCUACCAAGGCGACGAUCAGUAGCUGGUCUGAGAGGAUGAUCAGCCACACUGGGACUGAGACACGGCCCAGACUCCUACGGGAGGCAGCAGUGGGGAAUUUUCCGCAAUGGGCGCAAGCCUGACGGAGCAAGACCGCGUGGGGGAGGAAGGUUCUUGGAUUGUAAACCCCUUUUCUCAGGGAAGAAGAAAGUGACGGUACCUGAGGAAUCAGCCUCGGCUAACUCCGUGCCAGCAGCCGCGGUAAUACGGAGGAGGCAAGCGUUAUCCGGAAUGAUUGGGCGUAAAGCGUCCGUAGGUGGCAUUUCAAGUCUGCUGUCAAAGACUGGAGCUUAACUCCGGAAAGGCAGUGGAAACUGAAAAGCUAGAGUGCGGUAGGGGCAGAGGGAAUUCCUGGUGUAGCGGUGAAAUGCGUAGAGAUCAGGAAGAACACCGGUGGCGAAAGCGCUCUGCUGGGCCGCAACUGACACUGAGGGACGAAAG
Molecule: ribosomal RNA, 605 nt
Filed under: Lyngbya semiplena
Lineage: Bacteria; Bacillati; Cyanobacteriota; Cyanophyceae; Oscillatoriales; Microcoleaceae
Description: bacterial SSU rRNA
Rfam family: Bacterial small subunit ribosomal RNA
Source: RNAcentral